This 75-nucleotide transfer RNA is filed under the name Acidobacteriota bacterium. RNAcentral describes it as "tRNA-Asn". It matches the Rfam family "tRNA". From Rfam's summary of the family: Transfer RNA (tRNA) molecules are approximately 80 nucleotides in length. Their secondary structure includes four short double-helical elements and three loops (D, anti-codon, and T loops). Lineage: Bacteria; Pseudomonadati; Acidobacteriota. The record is from RNAcentral. RNAcentral also lists the same sequence under 6 other names.
UCCUCGGUAGCUCAACGGUAGAGCAUCCGGCUGUUAACCGGAGGGUUGCUGGUUCGAAUCCAGCCCGAGGAGCCA